UUAAGCAGUCAUUCUACCUUGGGUUCAGCUCUUGUCAGAUCUGAUAAGUUAAAUAUCACUGGAUCUGGUCAGUAAUUGGAUGGAAGACCUCUGAGGAAAACUCGAGUGCUGAAG
Ribosomal RNA from Anser brachyrhynchus (Pink-footed goose), 114 nucleotides. NCBI's taxonomy places the organism in Eukaryota, Metazoa, Chordata, Aves, Anseriformes, Anatidae. The record is from Ensembl.